Molecule: non-coding RNA, 164 nt
Filed under: Alphaproteobacteria bacterium GWF2_58_20
Lineage: Bacteria; Pseudomonadati; Pseudomonadota; Alphaproteobacteria
Also listed under: 1 other name
Description: 6S RNA
Rfam family: 6S / SsrS RNA
About the family: E. coli 6S RNA was the first non coding RNA to be sequenced, but its function was unknown until recently. It consists of 184 nucleotides that fold into an extended hairpin structure with a large single-stranded internal bulge.
Source: RNAcentral
AAGGUUCUGGCGGGUGCGCCAGGUCCCAAUAUAUCCGGGGGGCCACAUUCGUUCGAGAAAGGGAGCUGUCCCUGCCAUCGCCGUGGCGUUGGUAUAUGGCGCCCACCUGGUCUACCAGGGUCUCCGGCGGGUAAAAGAGGAUCAGCGGCCAUGCUGGAACCUUC